CUCUCUCUCUCUCUCUCUCUCUCUCUCUGUCUCUCAAAUGUACUAUAUAAUAAGUCAUCUUAAUUCACAGGUCCAAUGUCAACAACGCGUACAACGCCAAACCUUCGUUGAUUAGGCCAUCCAAUAUAGCCGCAGAUCUUCUUGCAAUUGUCCCACUAGUUUCCAAUCGCUUCAGCUCUGCUGAUAUUUCAUCAUCCUACAGUAAUUUGCAAGCGACCAUACAUUUACAAGGCAUUAGUCUUUCAUUUUAUUUUUUUGUUUCAUUCAUUUCGCAGAUCAGUAGUACUACUGCAUGCAGGAAAAGUCGAUAUUUUACAAACGAUCAAAACCCACAAAUUAAAAGGUUGCUCAAUCCGGACAGAUAUAUAUAUAUAUAGUAGGACAACAUGAGCAAAAGUGCCAACGGUCCAAAGCUGGAAUUGAAGCUGAACUUGUCGCCGCCAAGGCGGGAUCACUCGCCUGUUGAGUCUCUAAAUUUUUUGACCCCUUCUUCGUCGGAAAUGUCAGUUGAAGGCUCAUGCGUUUCAUCCGAGCCUGAAGAUCAGCCUAUGACGUUGCAGUACUCCCCAAGCAGCACGGAACCCAGAUCGAUGAUGCUCGUAGGAUGUCCCAGAUGCCUCAUGUACGUCAUGUUAUCCGAGCUGGCUGAUCCAAAAUGCCCCAAAUGCAAGAGUACUGUCCUGCUCGAUGUCCUCAAGGAAGAAAAUGCCAGGAAUACAAGAAACUGAGCUAGCUAGCUGGAGCAUGCAUUUGCAUCGCUUCGUUUUCCUGUUCCUCAUCAGCAUCAAUUCCAACUGCACGCUUUCUCUUUUCUUUCUUUCUUUCUUUUCUUUGAUCUCGAUGCUAGCUUAAUUUGGCUUGACCUUAUUUAUUUUCUAAUGCAGCUUUUAUCUUCUUUCGUCGAUCGGCUUUAAUUAUUUUAAGGUACUGUUUCUCUUGUCUACUAUUAAUUAUUAUUCCUUUUUGGUUC
This is a long non-coding RNA of Juglans microcarpa x Juglans regia, 970 nucleotides long. RefSeq lists it as uncharacterized. The record is from RefSeq and is a predicted model, not a curated record. The transcript has 2 exons. NCBI's taxonomy places the organism in Eukaryota, Viridiplantae, Streptophyta, Magnoliopsida, Fagales, Juglandaceae.